UACGAAGGGGGCUAGCGUUGUUCGGAAUGACUGGGCGUAAAGGGUGCGUAGGCGGUAGAAUACGUCUGGUGUGAAAGUCUUAGGCUUAACCUGAGGAUUGCACUGGAUACGGUUUUGCUAGAGUGUAAGAGGGGAAGAUGGAAUUGCGGGUGUAGAGGUGAAAUUCGUAGAUAUCCGCAAGAACACCGGAGGCGAAGGCGAUCUUCUGGCUUACAACUGACGCUGAGGCACGAAAGCGUGGGGAGCAAACAGG
RNAcentral lists this ribosomal RNA (253 nucleotides) under uncultured bacterium. RNAcentral's name for it is "partial 16S ribosomal RNA". It matches the Rfam family "Bacterial small subunit ribosomal RNA", at positions 524 to 776 of the family's 1533-position model. The record is from RNAcentral.